Long non-coding RNA from Stylophora pistillata, 824 nucleotides. NCBI's taxonomy places the organism in Eukaryota, Metazoa, Cnidaria, Anthozoa, Scleractinia, Pocilloporidae. The record is from RefSeq and is a predicted model, not a curated record.
GUGCUACCAAAUACUAACAUGGCCUAAGCAGCGGGCCAUGAAUUUAUGCUAACGAGGCAAGAUGGCGUCUCCGCGAAAAUCCCGUGGUUGACAGCAAACAUCAUCAUUCGUUUUCCUCUGUCGUUUUAUACGACACUGCCACCCACACAAGAAGUAGGGGAAGAUUUUUUGAUGUGGAGAGAAUUAUUACCCGGCGAAAAUGUGACUCGACCUUUUUUGAGGCCAACUCAAAUCAGCGACGAAAGGCUUAUAGAAGGAAGUCGGUGAUUUGCCGUUGGCAUGGUAACUGGUCUAAAAAGUUCCUCACACUCACCCUUUUAUAUGCGGAUCUGGAAUUAGACAUACGGCGCUUUGUUUCACAUGAUAAAGGAAUUCCUUCAGAACACUGAGGGCAUUUUUUAUUUCAAAGAAAUGACUUCACAAGGUUCAAAUACCUUCCCAAACGCUCGUGGUACUUUUUGAACGAACAUGGAGAGGGAUUUGCCAUGGACUAAUCCCGAUUAAGAUUAAGCCCGUGUUGUCAGGGUCUUCAGUUCAUCAUGUUAACAAAGAUGGGAUACUCUACAAGGCUCCUAGGUAUCCCUUGGAGAAGGUAUGUGUUGAAAUGGCAAAAAAGCCAUGCAACUUAGAGAAUGUUUUUAUGUACUUUAGUGUUUUUGUCUUAGACUGCCCUGCAUCAAAAGCAUAACAUGUGUGACUGUGUAAAAUAUUCCAUUUUGUAAUUUGUUAGUUUGUGAAAUGAAUGGAAACUCAUAGGUCUAACCUUUAAUCUAAUAGUUGAUGUUUGUUUAAUAAAUUGUCAAUUAAUCUCAGAGCACAUCUUU